This 908-nucleotide ribosomal RNA is filed under the name uncultured bacterium. RNAcentral's name for it is "bacterial SSU rRNA". It matches the Rfam family "Bacterial small subunit ribosomal RNA", at positions 8 to 916 of the family's 1533-position model. The record is from RNAcentral.
AGAGUUUGAUCCUGGCUCAGAUUGAACGCUGGCGGCAGGCUUAACACAUGCAAGUCGAACGAUGAAAUCUAGCUUGCUAGAUGGAUUAGUGGCGAACGGGUGAGUAAUGCUUAGGAAUCUGCCUAUUAGUGGGGGAUAACCAUCCGAAAGGAUGGCUAAUACCGCAUACGUCUUACGAGAGAAAGGGGGCUUUUAGCUCUCGCUAAUAGAUGAGCCUAAGUCGGAUUAGCUAGUUGGUGGGGUAAAGGCCUACCAAGGCGACGAUCUGUAGCUGGUCUGAGAGGAUGAUCAGCCACACUGGGACUGAGACACGGCCCAGACUCUUACGGGAGGCAGCAGUGGGGAAUAUUGGACAAUGGGCGAAAGCCUGAUCCAGCCAUGCCGCGUGUGUGAAGAAGGCCUUUUGGUUGUAAAGCACUUUAAGUGGGGAGGAAAAGCUUGUGGUUAAUACCCAUUAGCCCUGACGUUACCCACAGAAUAAGCACCGGCUAACUCUGUGCCAGCAGCCGCGGUAAUACAGAGGGUGCAAGCGUUAAUCGGAAUUACUGGGCGUAAAGCGAGCGUAGGUGGUUACUUAAGUCAGAUGUGAAAGCCCCGGGCUUAACCUGGGAAUUGCAUCUGAUACUGGGUGACUAGAGUAGGUGAGAGGGAAGUAGAAUUCCAGGUGUAGCGGUGAAAUGCGUAGAGAUCUGGAGGAAUACCGAUGGCGAAGGCAGCUUCCUGGCAUCAUACUGACACUGAGGUUCGAAAGCGUGGGUAGCAAACAGGAUUAGAUACCCUGGUAGUCCACGCCGUAAACGAUGUCUACCAGUCGUUGGGUCUCUUGAAGACUUAGUGACGCAGUUAACGCAAUAAGUAGACCGCCUGGGGAGUACGGCCGCAAGGUUAAAACUCAAAGGAAUUGACGG